GAGGAGGGGAAAGACAUGAGACUCCUGGGUCAAAGACAAGGGACUUGACCUUUCAUGGCACAGUAAUCAGCAGAGCAGAACAUCAAUUUCACGUGUCUCAGGAAGAAUGGAUUUUGGCCUCAGUCCCGCAGUACCUAGGUCUUUAUUUACACUUUUUUAAUUUUAGAAUCUUGACUGGUUACCCUGCUUGCUGAAGCUUCAGGCUACUUGCCAGUAAUAAAUGAAAAUAAAAUUGACAUCACAGUAUGGCAGAUAAAAUGAAAUUAAAUAAUGCAAGUCCAUGCAUUAUGGCCCAGACAUAAGAAAUGUGAAAAAGUCAUUCAAAGGAGUUUAAGGACAAAGAAAGAUGCUGAGCAACUCAUAAAGAUGGUAACCGAUGGUCGUAACCAAUUCUAUCAGGCACGCCCUGCUCUCCUUAAUCAC
Molecule: long non-coding RNA, 423 nt
Organism: Sciurus carolinensis (gray squirrel)
Lineage: Eukaryota; Metazoa; Chordata; Mammalia; Rodentia; Sciuridae
Exons: 3
Source: RefSeq, a predicted model, not a curated record